RNAcentral lists this ribosomal RNA (326 nucleotides) under uncultured Spirochaeta sp. RNAcentral's name for it is "bacterial SSU rRNA". It matches the Rfam family "Bacterial small subunit ribosomal RNA", at positions 1059 to 1382 of the family's 1533-position model. Lineage: Bacteria; Pseudomonadati; Spirochaetota; Spirochaetia; Spirochaetales; Spirochaetaceae. The record is from RNAcentral.
CUCGUGCUGUCGAAGUGUUGGGUUAAGUACCGCCAACGAGCGCAACCCCUCGCUAUCUGUUGCCAGCGAGUAAUGUGGGGACUCAGAUGGAACUGCCGGUGACAAACCGGAGGAAGGUGGGGACGACGUCAAGUCAUCAUGGCCCUUAUGUCCUGGGCUACACACGUGCUACAAUGGCCGGUACAGAGCGCAGCGAAGCCGCGAGGCAAAGCGAAUCGCAAAAAGCCGGUCUCAGUACGGAUUGGAGUCUGAAACCCGACUCCAUGAAGUUGGAAUCGCUAGUAAUCGCGCAUCAGCAUGGCGCGGUGAAUACGUUCCCGGGCCUU